Long non-coding RNA from Chinchilla lanigera (long-tailed chinchilla), 227 nucleotides. RefSeq lists it as uncharacterized. The record is from RefSeq and is a predicted model, not a curated record. The transcript is spliced from 2 exons. Lineage: Eukaryota; Metazoa; Chordata; Mammalia; Rodentia; Chinchillidae.
GGGCGCGAGUCCACCGAGCACACCCGCAGCGCCAGCCAGGUCCCGGGCGGCGGUACCCAGCUCAUGGUGACCGGCGCGGUGGGCAGAGAUGAGCACUGACGCUUAGCCGUCAAAUGCCUGCUGAUGUGGGGUAGAGCUGAACCAGAGGCUCCUGUUGUCCAGCCUAGAGUGGUUUCCACUGGACCAUCCUGGCUGAUGGGCUAGGACUCAGGACACCUAACUUUUAG